This 281-nucleotide unclassified non-coding RNA is filed under the name uncultured Tremellales. Its description in RNAcentral is "sequence contains ITS2". The stretch from base 1 to 52 matches the Rfam family "5.8S ribosomal RNA", at positions 103 to 154 of the family's 154-position model. The record is from RNAcentral. Lineage: Eukaryota; Fungi; Basidiomycota; Tremellomycetes; Tremellales.
AACGCACCUUGCGCCUUUUGGUAUUCCGAAAGGCAUGCCUGUUUGAGUGUCAUGAAAUCUCAAUCCUCUCGGGUUUCUGAUCCGGGGUGGACUUGUACUUGGGCGUCUGCCGUUCUGACGGCUCGCCUCAAAUGGCUUAGCGGGAUCAGCAUCCACAGUCAGAUGUAAUAAGUUUCGUCUGGCUGGGUGGUGACGCCUGCUCACAACCCCCUCGCUUUGGCGUGGACAAUUUUUUUUUGGACUCUGACCUCAAAUCAGGUAGGGCUACCCGCUGAACUUAA